RNAcentral lists this unclassified non-coding RNA (304 nucleotides) under Rozellomycota sp. RNAcentral describes it as "Cryptomycota sp. partial contains small subunit ribosomal RNA, internal transcribed spacer 1, and 5.8S ribosomal RNA". The stretch from base 1 to 47 matches the Rfam family "Eukaryotic small subunit ribosomal RNA", at positions 1785 to 1831 of the family's 1831-position model. Lineage: Eukaryota; Fungi; Rozellomycota. The record is from RNAcentral.
AAAGUCGUAACAAGGUUUCCGUAGGUGAACCUGCGGAAGGAUCAUUGCAAAUCACGGGGGGGCACGGGGGGUGCGGUGUGUGCGGUUUGUGCGGUUUUUGGGAGUGUGGAGGGGUAUGGAGUGCGCAAGCACCGUAUCCCCCUCUGCCUCCCACAAGCCGCACAAGCUGCACAAGCUGCACUGUCCACGCCCGCCGACAUUUGGUCGGGAUGCGAGUCCCGGAUCAUAUUCACGCUUGUGCAGUUUGACAGAGUACAUGUGGUGGUAAUUUUGACAACUUUUAACAAUGGAUCUCUUGGCUCUU